GUGAUCACUUCGGCAGCAUAUGUAUUAAAAGUGGAACAAUACAGAGAUUUGCACGGCCCCUGCACAAAUAUGACACACAAAUUUGUGAAACAUUCCCUAUUUUU
This 104-nucleotide small nuclear RNA is filed under the name Mus spretus (western wild mouse). The record is from RNAcentral. Lineage: Eukaryota; Metazoa; Chordata; Mammalia; Rodentia; Muridae.